Molecule: long non-coding RNA, 1456 nt
Filed under: Gossypium raimondii (Peruvian cotton)
Lineage: Eukaryota; Viridiplantae; Streptophyta; Magnoliopsida; Malvales; Malvaceae
Description: long non-coding RNA (GRAI_LNC009003)
Source: RNAcentral
CUAGCAUCCAUUAAUAAAGAGAGGGAGAAAACAAAUGAGACCAAACAUUUACUCAACAAACAAAUAUCAGAAAAUAAUAAGUAAUAAAGAGAAACACACCCAUAUUAAAACUAAAACCAGACUCCAAAAACAAAAGAAAAUUGAGCAGAAAAAACCAAACGACACAACAGUUUCUCUCUUGAAACCCCAAAGUCAUGAAUCCAGUUGAUGGACCUCUCUAAAAACCUACAACGAACUAGCUGCAUGAAUCGACAGUAAAUUUCCUCAGAGAGUGAAGAUUUGGUAUCAUCAUCGGAGUAAAAAUAACAUACUCUGAAACCCAAAUACAAGAAAUCAAUUUAGGUCUUCGAUCACCAAUGGGACCAGUCCACCGUCGUCGUUCGCUCCACCAUCUCCGGUGCCAUAUCUUUAACAACAAUCCAAUUCUCCUCCUCACAAAAAAGGUUGCAUCAUCUUGGCAUUCAUCUCAAUGGAGAUCCUCCUUUCCAAAUUAUCACAAAUUUGUGAAGCAUCCCCUGCUUCGAAAGUCAUGAACAGAUCGUAGAAAUAGACGGUGGCUAGUCUCAUGAUCUCUUCUUCUUCAGAAACCCAUCACCCUUCAUCAUCCUCGAAACCUCUGAUUGCAUUACACUGUUUCCUCUCGUCGCCAUCUUAUGGAAAAAAGUAGUAUUCUGAUCACCAUUAGAAAGCCAAUUGAUGGGCGCCCUUUGCUCCCAAAAAUCUCCUCAUUAUCUGCCUCUAAAUUCAAUCCAAGUUAAAGUUUAGUCAACUCCGUAAAAUAUCAUCAUAUGGAUCUUUCGCAUAUAACUCUUUUAUUCUAUCCUCGAACUUUUUCUUAUGAGCCUUCUAGUCUCACCUAAUUGUAUGACUCCAAGUUAGGAGCUUUUGUCCUAACCCUUCAAGCUAUGAUUGGAAAUUUUCGAAGACUGAUGCCCAAUAAUCUCGUAUUUCAUUCUCACACAAACCCUCCAAGCACCAAUCAGCAUCGAAUCGAAACUUCAUUUUUCCCAUUCUCAUGUCGUAUGUUUCUUCGGCCUCUCGUAUCCACUAAAUUUGGGUAGUGAUCAGAGAUAUCAUGGCUCAAAUGAGCAACAAAAAACUCUAAAAACUGACCCCCACCGCGCCGAGUUUGCAACCCCAUGAUCAAGUCUUUGCUGGAUAUUGGUUGCGACAAAUCUACCUCUCUCCCAAGUGAGCCACCGCACCGUAAAACCCAGAUCACUGAGAUUACAAUCAAGUAACGCAGAGCAAAAUGCUUUCAUAUUUUUCUCUGCAUGAGUACGACUGCCCUUUUCUCGAAAGAGAAAGCAAUCUCGUUGAAGUCCCUCACAACCAGCCAUGGGAGACUUUGGUCCUGGCCCAACUGACAAAGUAGUUCCCAAGUGGUUCCUCUAAAAUGUUCAUCUGGGUGCCCAUAAAAUCUGGUAAAACACCACAACAACUCGUCUUGAUUUUC